UACGAAGGGGGCUAGCGUUGCUCGGAAUUACUGGGCGUAAAGGGAGCGUAGGCGGACAUUUAAGUCAGAGGUGAAAUCCCGGAGCUUAACUUCGGAACUGCCUUUGAUACUGGAUGUCUUGAGUGUGAGAGAGGUAUGUGGAACUCCGAGUGUAGAGGUGAAAUUCGUAGAUAUUCGGAAGAACACCAGUGGCGAAGGCGACAUACUGGCUCAUUACUGACGCUGAGGUGCGAAAGCGUGGGGAGCAAACAGG
RNAcentral lists this ribosomal RNA (253 nucleotides) under uncultured bacterium. RNAcentral describes it as "partial 16S ribosomal RNA". It matches the Rfam family "Bacterial small subunit ribosomal RNA", at positions 524 to 776 of the family's 1533-position model. The record is from RNAcentral.